AGCGCAAGCUACACAUGCAGUCGAGCGCUCUCUUCGGAGGGAGCGGCGGACGGGUUAGUAACGCGUGGGAAUAUACCCUUUGGUACGGAAUAGCCUCUGGAAACGGAGAGUAAUACCGUAUGAGCCCUUCGGGGGAAAGAUUUAUCGCCAAAGGAUUAGCCCGCGUUAGAUUAGGUAGUUGGUGGGGUAAUGGCCUACCAAGCCUACGAUCUAUAGCUGGUUUUAGAGGAUGAUCAGCAACACUGGGACUGAGACACGGCCCAGACUCCUACGGGAGGCAGCAGUGGGGAAUCUUGGACAAUGGGGGCAACCCUGAUCCAGCCAUGCCGCGUGAGUGAUGAAGGCCUUAGGGUCGUAAAGCUCUUUCGCCUGUGAAGAUAAUGACGGUAGCAGGUAAAGAAACCCCGGCUAACUCCGUGCCAGCAGCCGCGGUAAUACGGAGGGGGUUAGCGUUGUUCGGAAUUACUGGGCGUAAAGCGCACGUAGGCGGACUGGAAAGUUGGGGGUGAAAUCCCAGGGCUCAACCCUGGAACUGCCUCCAAAACUAUCAGUCUAGAGUUCGAGAGAGGUGAGUGGAAUUCCGAGUGUAGAGGUGAAAUUCGUAGAUAUUCGGAGGAACACCAGUGGCGAACGCGGCUCACUGGCUCGAUACUGACGCUGAGGUGCGAAAGUGUGGGGAGCAAACAGGAUUAGAUACCCUGGUAGUCCACACCGUAAACGAUGAAUGCCAGUCGUCGGGUAGCAUGCUAUUCGGUGACACACCUAACGGAUUAAGCAUUCCGCCUGGGGGAGUACGGUCGCAGAUAAACUCAAGAUGACGGGGGCCCGCACAGCGGUGGAGCAUGUGGUUAAUUCGAAGCAACGCCGCAGAACCUUACCAAUC
RNAcentral lists this ribosomal RNA (883 nucleotides) under marine bacterium CS-40. RNAcentral describes it as "bacterial SSU rRNA". It matches the Rfam family "Bacterial small subunit ribosomal RNA", at positions 38 to 979 of the family's 1533-position model. The record is from RNAcentral.